GACGAACGCUGGCGGCGUGCCUAAUACAUGCAAGUCGAGCGAGCGGAACUAACAGAUUUACUUCGGUAAUGACGUUAGGAAAGCGAGCGGCGGAUGGGUGAGUAACACGUGGGGAACCUGCCCCAUAGUCUGGGAUACCACUUGGAAACAGGUGCUAAUACCGGAUAAGAAAGCAGAUCGCAUGAUCAGCUUUUAAAAGGCGGCGUAAGCUGUCGCUAUGGGAUGGCCCCGCGGUGCAUUAGCUAGUUGGUAAGGUAAAGGCUUACCAAGGCGAUGAUGCAUAGCCGAGUUGAGAGACUGAUCGGCCACAUUGGGACUGAGACACGGCCCAAACUCCUACGGGAGGCAGCAGUAGGGAAUCUUCCACAAUGGACGCAAGUCUGAUGGAGCAACGCCGCGUGAGCGAAGAAGGUUUUCGGAUCGUAAAGCUCUGUUGUUGGUGAAGAAGGAUAGAGGUAGU
Molecule: ribosomal RNA, 460 nt
Filed under: Lactobacillus crispatus
Lineage: Bacteria; Bacillati; Bacillota; Bacilli; Lactobacillales; Lactobacillaceae
Description: bacterial SSU rRNA
Rfam family: Bacterial small subunit ribosomal RNA
Source: RNAcentral